RNAcentral lists this ribosomal RNA (429 nucleotides) under Bacteroidota bacterium. RNAcentral's name for it is "Bacteroidetes bacterium partial 16S ribosomal RNA". It matches the Rfam family "Bacterial small subunit ribosomal RNA", at positions 355 to 776 of the family's 1533-position model. Lineage: Bacteria; Pseudomonadati; Bacteroidota. The record is from RNAcentral.
UAGGGAAUCUUCGGCAAUGGGGGGAACCCUGACCGAGCAACGCCGCGUGAGUGAAGAAGGUUUUCGGAUCGUAAAGCUCUGUUGUUAAGGAAGAACGAGUGUGAGAAUGGAAAGUUCAUACUGUGACGGUACUUAACCAGAAAGGGACGGCUAACUACGUGCCAGCAGCCGCGGUAAUACGUAGGUCCCGAGCGUUGUCCGGAUUUAUUGGGCGUAAAGCGAGCGCAGGCGGUUAGAUAAGUCUGAAGUUAAAGGCAGUGGCUCAACCAUUGUAGGCUUUGGAAACUGUUUAACUUGAGUGCAGAAGGGGAGAGUGGAAUUCCAUGUGUAGCGGUGAAAUGCGUAGAUAUAUGGAGGAACACCGGUGGCGAAAGCGGCUCUCUGGUCUGUAACUGACGCUGAGGCUCGAAAGCGUGGGGAGCAAACAGG